This 253-nucleotide ribosomal RNA is filed under the name uncultured bacterium. RNAcentral's name for it is "partial 16S ribosomal RNA". It matches the Rfam family "Bacterial small subunit ribosomal RNA", at positions 524 to 776 of the family's 1533-position model. The record is from RNAcentral.
GACGAACCGUGCAAACGUUGUUCGGAAUCACUGGGCUUAAAGGGCGCGUAGGCGGGCAAGCAAGUCGAAGGUGAAAUCCCACGGCUCAACCGUGGAAGUGCCCCCGAUACUGCUUGUCUUGAGGGAGAUAGGGGCGUGCGGAACUUCCGGUGGAGCGGUGAAAUGCGUAGAUAUCGGAAGGAACACCGGUGGCGAAAGCGGCGCGCUGGAUCUCUUCUGACGCUGAGGCGCGAAAGCCAGGGGGGCAAACGGG